Non-coding RNA from Chiloscyllium plagiosum (whitespotted bambooshark), 373 nucleotides. The record is from RefSeq and is a predicted model, not a curated record. NCBI's taxonomy places the organism in Eukaryota, Metazoa, Chordata, Chondrichthyes, Orectolobiformes, Hemiscylliidae.
AAAGAUUAAAGUAGCAGCGAAGCAAGAAGUGUCUCUGGCAGCAUUAAAAGGACAACCCUUGACCUCAGGAGCAAGACUGGUGAACCUUCAUUGUACUCCCUCUUUGGCAAUAAUGUCUUCCCUGAGGUAUAUGUUUCACAAGAACACUAGACCCAGGACAGUUCCUGUAUGGGCAGUCACCUGGACUCAAUGUCAUCCUGCCCACUUUCCUCAGGACUGGUGCUCGUGACCACAGGCUGGAACCCAUUUCAAACAUCAUGUUGGAUCAGAAGAAGAUGCAAUUAAAGCAUUUGUGAAUGAAAAAGAAUCGUCUCAUAAAUUAAGGAAACAAAGCAAUAAGCAACAAGGUCAUUAAUGCUGUGGAAUAAAAGAA